CUAACCAUGCAAGUCGAGCGGAAACGAAGAGGUGCUUGCACCUCUGGCGUCGAGCGGCGGACGGGUGAGUAAUGCUUGGGAACAUGCCUUGAGGUGGGGGACAACCGUUGGAAACGACGGCUAAUACCGCAUAAUGUCUACGGACCAAAGGGGGCUUCGGCUCUCGCCUUUAUAUNGGUGGGAUUAGCUAGUUGGUGAGGUAAUGGCUUACCAAGGCGACGAUCCCUAGCUGGUUUGAUUGG
This 242-nucleotide ribosomal RNA is filed under the name marine bacterium A17. RNAcentral describes it as "partial 16S ribosomal RNA". It matches the Rfam family "Bacterial small subunit ribosomal RNA", at positions 54 to 299 of the family's 1533-position model. The record is from RNAcentral.